CCUGCCCACUGAAUAAUUUAAAUGGCCGCAGUAAUUUGACUGUGCAAAGGUAGCAUAAUCAUUAGUUUUUUAAUUAAAAGCUUGUAUGAAGGGUUGGACGAGAUAAAAUCUGUCUUUAUUUAAUUAAAAUUAGAAUUUAAUUUUUAAGUUAAAAAGCUUAAAUGUUAAUAAAAGACGAGAAGACCCUAUAAAUCUUUAUAUUAUAAUAUUUAAUUUUAUUUAGGUUUAUUUAUUUAUUUUUAAAUUUUAUAUUAUUUUAUUGGGGUAAUAAAUAGAUUAAAAUAAUUCUUUUUUUUAUUUACAUUGAUUUAUGAUUUUUUGAUCCAAUAUUUUUGAUUAUAAGAUUAAGUUACUUUAGGGAUAACAGCGUAAUUUUUUUAUAGAGUUCUUAUCGAUAAAAAAGUUUGCGACCUCGAUGUUGGAUUAAAAAUUGUUC
This 436-nucleotide ribosomal RNA is filed under the name Agaporomorphus knischi. RNAcentral describes it as "partial 16S ribosomal RNA". The record is from RNAcentral. Lineage: Eukaryota; Metazoa; Arthropoda; Insecta; Coleoptera; Dytiscidae.